RNAcentral lists this ribosomal RNA (449 nucleotides) under uncultured bacterium. RNAcentral's name for it is "partial 16S ribosomal RNA". It matches the Rfam family "Bacterial small subunit ribosomal RNA", at positions 29 to 523 of the family's 1533-position model. The record is from RNAcentral.
AACGAACGCUGGCGGCAUGCCUAACACAUGCAAGUCGAACGAAGCCUUCGGGCUUAGUGGCGCACGGGUGCGUAACGCGUGGGAAUCUGCCCUUUGGUUCGGAAUAACAGUUGGAAACGACUGCUAAUACCGGAUGAUGACGAAAGUCCAAAGAUUUAUCGCCAGAGGAUGAGCCCGCGUAGGAUUAGCUAGUUGGUGUGGUAAAGGCGCACCAAGGCGACGAUCCUUAGCUAGUCUGAGAGGAUGAUCAGCCACACUGGGACUGAGAAACGGCCCAGACUCCUACGGGAGGCAGCAGUGGGGAAUAUUGGACAAUGGGCGAAAGCCUGAUCCAGAAAUGCCGCGUGAGUGAUGAAGGCCCUAGGGUUGUAAAGCUCUUUUACCCGGGAUGAUAAUGACAGUACCGGGAGAAUAAGCUCCGGCUAACUCCGUGCCAGCAGCCGCAGUAA